Molecule: ribosomal RNA, 434 nt
Filed under: uncultured Lachnospiraceae bacterium
Lineage: Bacteria; Bacillati; Bacillota; Clostridia; Lachnospirales; Lachnospiraceae
Description: bacterial SSU rRNA
Rfam family: Bacterial small subunit ribosomal RNA
Source: RNAcentral
ACGGGAGGCAGCAGUGGGGAAUAUUGCACAAUGGGCGCAAGCCUGAUGCAGCGACGCCGCGUGAGCGAAGAAGUAUUUCGGUAUGUAAAGCUCUAUCAGCAGGGAAGAAAAUGACGGUACCUGACUAAGAAGCUCCGGCUAAAUACGUGCCAGCAGCCGCGGUAAUACGUAUGGAGCAAGCGUUAUCCGGAUUUACUGGGUGUAAAGGGAGCGUAGACGGAACAGCAAGUCUGAUGUGAAAGGCAGGGGCUCAACUCCUGGACUGCAUUGGAAACUGUUGAUCUUGAGUGCCGGAGAGGUAAGCGGAAUUCCUAGUGUAGCGGUGAAAUGCGUAGAUAUUAGGAGGAACACCAGUGGCGAAGGCGGCUUACUGGACGGUAACUGACGUUGAGGCUCGAAAGCGUGGGGAGCAAACAGGAUUAGAUACCCUGGUA